CCUACGGGGUGCAGCAGUGAGGAAUAUUGGUCAAUGGCCGCAGGGCUGAACCAGCCAAGUCGCGUGAGGGAUGACGGUCCUAUGGAUUGUAAACCUCUUUUGUCAGGGAGCAAAGGGCGCCACGUGUGGCGCUUUGCGAGUACCUGAGGAAAAAGCAUCGGCUAACUCCGUGCCAGCAGCCGCGGUAAUACGGAGGAUGCGAGCGUUAUCCGGAUUUAUUGGGUUUAAAGGGUGCGCAGGCGGAAUGUCAAGUCAGCGGUAAAAUUUCGGGGCUCAACCCCGUCGUGCCGUUGAAACUGGCGUUCUUGAGUGAGCGAGAAGUAUGCGGAAUGCGUGGUGUAGCGGUGAAAUGCAUAGAUAUCACGCAGAACUCCGAUUGCGAAGGCAGCAUACCGGCGCUCAACUGACGCUCAUGCACGAAAGCGUGGGUAUCGAACAGGAUUAGAUACCCUAGUAGUC
This 459-nucleotide ribosomal RNA is filed under the name uncultured bacterium. RNAcentral describes it as "partial 16S ribosomal RNA". It matches the Rfam family "Bacterial small subunit ribosomal RNA", at positions 338 to 795 of the family's 1533-position model. The record is from RNAcentral.